Molecule: long non-coding RNA, 661 nt
Organism: Olea europaea var. sylvestris
Lineage: Eukaryota; Viridiplantae; Streptophyta; Magnoliopsida; Lamiales; Oleaceae
Exons: 2
Source: RefSeq, a predicted model, not a curated record
UCUUUAUAAAAAGCUAUUGGCAGUAGGGUUUUCGAAAAAAAGAAAUUGAAGGGCUGGUGGAAUUGAGGGGAAUGUUGGCUGGCUCGAGGCUGCUUCAGAGUAAGGUUCUGAAUAGAAGAAAGUCUCUGAAUAAUGCUUCGGACCAGGCUUCAUUCCCCUCAAAACAUAAUUUUAUACAUGGGAAAGAAUUAAUUUUUAUGUUAUAUAUGAUUCUCGUGAGUGUCGUGUUGAGAGGAAUGUUGUCUGGCUCGAGAUCAUCGAGGUGAUUCUAAUAUGUUAGUGGAAACCCUAAAUGAUUCUCGGACCAGGCUUCAUCCCCCCCAACCAUCAUUUGCAGCUUGCCACAGCCAACCUUGGAAACUAGAAAGAGAGAGAUAAGAGCAAUGAAUUGACAAUUAUUUCUUGGGAUAUGUAAAUAGAUUAGCACAUUUUGGAGUUAUUCAAAGGCAAACUUCGCCUUGAAAGUUGAACCAGCAGCAGCAAUUGUAUUUUUUUCUCUAUUUUUGUGUACUGGGAAUUGAAUAAUUGUACAAGAUAACCUCAAACCCAUUUAUGUUAUUUAACCUGGAUUGUGAAUAUAGGUGAUUACCAUCAGUUCAUAAGAUAAUGGGAUCACUAACAUAGAAACGGGUGAUUAUAUAUAGCAUCAUUCUUUAAGAUU